Molecule: ribosomal RNA, 299 nt
Filed under: uncultured bacterium
Lineage: Bacteria
Description: partial 16S ribosomal RNA
Rfam family: Bacterial small subunit ribosomal RNA
Source: RNAcentral
UGGCCCUGGGGUAAAAGAUUUAUCGAUGUAAGAUGGACCCGCGUCUGAUUAGCCAGUUGGCGGGGUAACGGCCCACCAAAGCUACGAUCAGUAGCCGACCUGAGAGGGUGAUCGGCCACAUUGGGACUGAGACACGGCCCAAACUCCUACGGGAGGCAGCAGUGGGGAAUAUUGGGCAAUGGGCGCAAGCCUGACCCAGCGACGCCGCGUGAGUGAAGAAGUAUUUCGGUAUGUAAAGCUCUAUCAGCAGGGAAGACAAUGACGGUACCUGACUAAGAAGCACCGGCUAAAUACGUGCC